AUGCAAGUCAAUGGUCAAACCAUCCAUACACUACGCAAACAACGGCAUGAUUCGUUGUUAGCACCUACACUGCAUCUUGUUGCCACGUGCAUCUCCGGUCGCGCCAGCGCUGCUGUGGCUUGCUGCCUCCCAGUCAAAAUCCCGUAUGGCCGCGCCCGCGCCGUUGCGGAUUGCCGCGUCCCCACCCGGGCUCUUCCCCAGCAUCUCGCAGCACGAGCCAAGCCCCGCUGCUCCCGACUCUGUCCCGACCUGCUUUCGCGCGUCCCGGGUCCAGGAUGCCGCCGCGUCCGUGCGCCCUCUCCUCCGGCCCGGGCCCCGUGCAGCUGCGCCCGUGAGGUCGGCUCUGUCCUGCCGGCCGUCCGCAUCCUCGCCUGCCGCCCACGCGCCCGGGCCGGGUCGCCGUUCCGGCCGGCUCCCGCGCGCCUGUCAGCCGCCUCGCCGCGUCACGCCGCUCCUCCUUGCCCGAGCUGCUGCCGCCCUUGGGCCCGGUCUCCCGCAGCCGCUGGCGGCCAACUCCAUCCUGCCCGGGCCGCUAUGCACCCUGCACCAUCCCUCGCGCGGCGUGGCUCAGCGCCGCGCCGCCUCCCGCCAACCACCACGCCUCGCGGGCUUCGACUGCCGGCUGUGCCAUUCCCCGCCUGCUCUCAGCGUCGACAGCUCCACCCUCGCCAGUUGGCUCCGGGCCCCCGCCGGGUCGCCGCCACCCGCGGCCGGGUGCUCCGCACCGGCCGGCUCCGGGAUCCCGCGCCGCUGUCCGCAUCCCAUGCGCGUGGCCCCGACCACACCGCGCACCCACAGCCGGCUACACCUUGCCAGGCCGGCUCCCCCAGUGUCGGGUCCUUCUCUCCUUGCCGCCUGGCCCGAUCGCCGCCUCGCCACCUCCCGCUGGCCCAGGCCGCCUCCUGCCCGGGCCCGCGUGCCUCCUGCAUACAUCGGCCGCUCUUCUCCCACUCCGGCCAUGCUGCCGCGUCGCCCGCUACGCCGGCUGUGGCUCCUCGCCGCCUUCCCGCGUCGGCUCGGCCACGCGCGUCCACGUCUGACUCCGCCCGAGGCCGCCUGCACCUCCGCGCGUCGUGCCGGCUCCCCUGCCGCGCCUCUGGCCGGCCGGGUCGCGCGCCUCCGCUGCCGGCUCCCGGGUCGGGCGCCGUGUCCGGCUGUGCCACACGUGCCCCCGCUGGGUCCCGCUCCAGCCGCCUGUUGUGGCCGGUGCCUGAAGAAGAAAAACCACUCCGACUGGAAAAGUCAGAGGCCGGCUCCAAAACAAAGGGUGGAGUCCGGCUGCUCGCGUGGAGUCGGAUUAAAGAAAAAGAAAGAAAGAAGAAAGACCUGGCUAGAGGGAAAGAAGAAGAGUCCGGCUGCUAUGGCAGGCUGAAAAAAGAGAACGCCGCGUCCGGCUGGAAGAAAAGAGAUGCCGGGUGCUAG
This 1422-nucleotide ribosomal RNA is filed under the name Triticum aestivum (bread wheat). RNAcentral describes it as "partial small subunit ribosomal RNA". Lineage: Eukaryota; Viridiplantae; Streptophyta; Magnoliopsida; Poales; Poaceae. The record is from RNAcentral.